Molecule: long non-coding RNA, 571 nt
Filed under: Brassica rapa (field mustard)
Lineage: Eukaryota; Viridiplantae; Streptophyta; Magnoliopsida; Brassicales; Brassicaceae
Description: long non-coding RNA (BRAP_LNC002872)
Source: RNAcentral
UAUAUGAACUUAAUGGUAUUUUUUCCAUUUAUAAAAAAGUUAAAAUUUUAAAUUUAAGAUUAUGUUCUAAAAAAAGUAGAAAUGACAUUCUACGAAGUAGAAAACGAAAUCUACUUUUUUCAUUGAAUCUACAAUGUUUAGAAUACGUGAUCUACGUAAAUAGGAGUAUUCUACAAAUAUGUAGAAUACACAUUCCGCGCUUAACCUACCAUUCUAAAAUUCUUAGAAAUCAAAAUCUACACAUUAAUCUAAUUCUAAAACAUGUAGAAACCGAUUUCUACAGAUUUACUAUAAAUCUAAAACAUGUAGAAAUCAAAUUCUAAACAUUACUAUAAUUCUAAAAAACUGUAGAAACUGAUUUCUACAGAAUAGUUGUAUUCUACGGAUAAGAAAUCAGUUCCUAAAAAUAUGGAAACAAAAUAUUUGAGAAUAUUUACUUUUAUAUUUUUUUAAAAAAAUCGAUUUAAAAAAAAACGAAAAAGGAACAAAAAAACGACAAAAAAACCUUGGCAACCUUCUUCGCCGUCUUCUAUAUUCCAUUGAUUGUUCACAAAAUUUUCACAUUAUUUCU